Molecule: RNA transcript, 1479 nt
Organism: Tripterygium wilfordii
Lineage: Eukaryota; Viridiplantae; Streptophyta; Magnoliopsida; Celastrales; Celastraceae
Gene name: small nuclear ribonucleoprotein-associated protein B'-like
Exons: 3
Source: RefSeq, a predicted model, not a curated record
CAGUCAGUCGGUGGUUCAGUGUCUGCAGAUGUGCGAUAGUUUAAACCUUCCAAAACCCUAGCCAUUUCCUCUCUCCAGACACUCCCAGCAGAUCCAUCAUAUUGAAACAUUGAAUCUGUGAAGCUCGAAAGCCUACGAAAAUGUCGAUGUCUAAGAGCUCGAAGAUGCUGCAGUUCAUCAACUACCGGAUGCGUGUGACCAUCCAGGACGGCCGUCAAUUGGUGGGCAAAUUCAUGGCUUUCGAUCGACAUAUGAAUCUCGUUCUAGGCGACUGCGAGGAGUUCCGGAAGCUUCCGCCAGCCAAGGGCAAGAAGAACAACGAGGAGCGCGAGGACCGACGUACUCUUGGCCUAGUUCUUCUCCGUGGCGAGGAGGUCGUAUCCAUGACCGUCGAGGGGCCACCGCCUCCUGAAGAAUCGCGUGCGAAGGCCGUUUCUGCUAGUGCCGUCGCUGGCCCUGGAAUCGGUCGCGCUGCUGGACGAGGCGUGCCUACUGCUCCCCUUGUGCAAGCCCAGCCCGGACUUGCUGGCCCUGUCCGUGGCGUUGGUGGGCCCGCUCCAGGAAUGAUGCAGCCCUCGCUGUCUCGUCCGCCAGUCCCUCAACUAUCUGCACCGCCUAUGACGUACCCUGCGCCGCCUCCAGGGUCAGGUGCUCCUCCGGUGAUCCGACCGCCUGGACAGAUGCCGCCUCCAGGUUCAACUGCUCCCUACCCAGGUCAGGGACAUCCAAUGGCUCGUGGCCCUCCACAAAUGCCGCCGCCACAGUACGGAGUUAGGCCGCCACAGCAAGGUUUCCAGAUGCCAGCACCACCACAAUACGGGCAGAGACCCAUGGGAGUGCCGCCUCCACCACAGAACCCUAUGAUGAGAGGACCUCCUGGUCCACCACGGCCUGGAAUGCCUGGCCCCCCUCCACCACGUCCUGGGAUGCCACCUCCGCCUGGUGGCGUUCCUGUUUAUGGUCCACCUCGUCCAGGUAUGCCGCCUCCACCAAACCCUCAGCAGCAGCAACAGCAAAAUCAGCAACAGUGAUGAUAUGGAAUCAUCUUCUGUACUGCAGAUGGUUACAUCUACAAAUCUGCAUAUGAUGUGAAGGAUGCUGAGGUGAUGCUGUUAAGCUUUUUGCAUGGCUUUUUUCUCCUGCUGCGAGUGCAUGUAAUCUGGACGAGUUUGAAUCUUUGUUCUGUCGUACUUUAGUACUUUCUUGAUGUCAUUUAGAUAGCUAUGUCAUGUUAGUGGAGAUUGCUAUGCUCACCAAAAAAUAGUUGUAUCUUUGCAAUAUGACCAAAUUAGUUGGGCCAUGGUGGAUGCCGAGCAACCUUUCUGAUAAAUUCAAAUGAGUACAGUUUUCUAGCUGGGGUGUUAAUAGUUCUUAUUAUCUCGGUCUCUCUUCGUUUGCCUGUCUGAAUUUUGUGAUUUGUUUCAUGAUAUGCCCUUGGUAUGUUGAACAUUAUAUAUAUAUGUACUGUUAGUUGCUUCU